Lolium rigidum is the source of this 288-nucleotide long non-coding RNA. RefSeq lists it as uncharacterized. The transcript has 3 exons. NCBI's taxonomy places the organism in Eukaryota, Viridiplantae, Streptophyta, Magnoliopsida, Poales, Poaceae. The record is from RefSeq and is a predicted model, not a curated record.
UGGAAUAUCACUGCUGACGUGUGGCUGUGAGGCUGACGAUCCUCCCCUUUCGGCGCAAACUUGUCACUGUGGCGCCAUGUUGUCCAAGCAUCCACCUCAGUAACCUGGAAAUUCAAUUCUAUUAAGUGGACUGGACUAUUGGUAUAUUGAAGUUUCAUGCUUCAACCAUUUGCCCAUGGAGUUCAUAAAUUCUGUUGAGAUCAUGUACAACAUUGUGGACGCAAUGAAGGCAGGGCCACCGGUGGAGCUGAAGAAUGCAAAGGUGGACAUGUAAAUGCGCUUGGUCAC